This 253-nucleotide ribosomal RNA is filed under the name uncultured bacterium. RNAcentral describes it as "partial 16S ribosomal RNA". It matches the Rfam family "Bacterial small subunit ribosomal RNA", at positions 524 to 776 of the family's 1533-position model. The record is from RNAcentral.
GACAGAGGGUGCAAACGUUGUUCGGAAUUACUGGGCGUAAAGCGCGUGUAGGCGGCAGGGCAAGUCGGAUGUGAAAUCCCGUGGCUCAACCACGGAAGUGCACCCGAAACUGCCCAGCUAGAGUCUCGGAGAGGAAGGUGGAAUGCUUGGUGUAGAGGUGAAAUUCGUAGAUAUCAAGCGGAACUCCGGUGGCGAAGGCGGCACGCUGGACCUUUUCUGACGCUGAGGCGCGAAAGCCAGGGGAGCAAACGGG